CCUACGGGAGGCAGCAGUAGGGAAUCUUCCACAAUGGGCGAAAGCCUGAUGGAGCAACGCCGCGUGGGUGAAGAAGGUCUUCGGAUCGUAAAACCCUGUUGUUAGAGAAGAAAGUGCGUGAGAGUAACUGUUCACGUUUCGACGGUAUCUAACCAGAAAGCCACGGCUAACUACGCGACAGCAGCCGCGGUAAUACGUAGGUGGCAAGCGUUAUCCGGAUUUAUUGGGCGUAAAGGGAACGCAGGCGGUCUUUUAAGUCUGAUGUGAAAGCCUUCGGCUUAACCGGAGUAGUGCAUUGGAAACUGGGAGACUUGAGUGCAGAAGAGGGGAGUGGAACUCCAGGUGUAGCGGUGAAAUGCGUAGAUAUAUGGAAGAACACCAGUGGCGAAAGCGGCUCUCUGGUCUGUAACUGACGCUGAGGUUCGAAAGCGUGGGUAGCAAACAGGAUUAGAUACCCCAGUAGUC
This 465-nucleotide ribosomal RNA is filed under the name uncultured bacterium. RNAcentral describes it as "partial 16S ribosomal RNA". It matches the Rfam family "Bacterial small subunit ribosomal RNA", at positions 338 to 795 of the family's 1533-position model. The record is from RNAcentral.